UACGGAGGGUGCGAGCGUUAAUCGGAAUUACUGGGCGUAAAGGGUGCGUAGGUGGUUAUAUAAGUUAGCUGUGAAAUACCUGGGCUUAACCUGGGAAGGUCAGCUAAGACUGUGUGACUUAGAGUAUAGGAGAGGGUAGUGGAAUUUCCGGUGUAGCGGUGAAAUGCGUAGAGAUCGGAAGGAACACCAGUGGCGAAGGCGGCUACCUGGCCUAAUACUGACACUGAGGCACGAAAGCGUGGGGAGCAAACAGG
Molecule: ribosomal RNA, 254 nt
Filed under: uncultured Legionella sp.
Lineage: Bacteria; Pseudomonadati; Pseudomonadota; Gammaproteobacteria; Legionellales; Legionellaceae
Description: partial 16S ribosomal RNA
Rfam family: Bacterial small subunit ribosomal RNA
Source: RNAcentral